Molecule: long non-coding RNA, 283 nt
Filed under: Capsella rubella
Lineage: Eukaryota; Viridiplantae; Streptophyta; Magnoliopsida; Brassicales; Brassicaceae
Description: long non-coding RNA (CRUB_LNC002781)
Source: RNAcentral
GCGUUUCAAAUCAAGUUUUUUUAUUGGGAUACAGACAUUUACCCAAUACAAGCAAAACUAAUUUUUAAAACCAAAAUUAAGAAUACAUCUAUAGAGAAUCUUCUUGAUGUUUCUGUUUAAAAUCAUCAAUAUAUGUAUCGUUCUAAUAGAAUUGUACAAUGUGAUGUGCAUGAAUAAAGGAAAACAAAACAGGAGGAAGAGAAGGUGAUACGUAGAGAGAAAAAGAGGGUGAGAAGUAAGGAUCUGGUGUUGGUGUGUGAACAUAAAGAGAGGUGUGUUUAAC